This 446-nucleotide ribosomal RNA is filed under the name uncultured bacterium. Its description in RNAcentral is "bacterial SSU rRNA". It matches the Rfam family "Bacterial small subunit ribosomal RNA", at positions 329 to 792 of the family's 1533-position model. The record is from RNAcentral.
UUCCAGACUCCUACGGGAGGCAGCAGUGGGGAAUAUUGCACAAUGGGGGGAACCCUGAUGCAGCGACGCCGCGUGAGUGAAGAAGUAUCUCGGUACGUAAAGCUCUAUCAGCAGGGAAGAAAAUGACGGUACCUGACUAAGAAGCCCCGGCUAACUACGUGCCAGCAGCCGCGGUAAUACGUAGGGGGCAAGCGUUAUCCGGAUUUACUGGGUGUAAAGGGAGCGUAGACGGCACUGCAAGUCCGGAGUGAAAGCCCAAGGCUUAACCAUGGGACUGCUCUGGAAACUGUGGAGCUUGAGUGCGGGAGGGGCAGGCGGAAUUCCUGGUGUAGCGGUGAGAUGCGUAGAUAUCAGGAGGAACACCGGCGGCGAAGGCGGCCUGCUGGACCGUGACUGACGUUGAGGCUCGAGAGCGUGGGGAGCAAACAGGAUUAGAUACCCCUGUA